Molecule: signal recognition particle RNA, 80 nt
Filed under: Coriobacteriales bacterium
Lineage: Bacteria; Bacillati; Actinomycetota; Coriobacteriia; Coriobacteriales
Description: partial signal recognition particle sRNA small type
Rfam family: Bacterial small signal recognition particle RNA
About the family: The signal recognition particle (SRP) is a universally conserved ribonucleoprotein involved in the co-translational targeting of proteins to membranes. Archaeal SRP consists of a 7S RNA and homologues of the eukaryotic SRP19 and SRP54 proteins.
Source: RNAcentral
UCGAUGGGUUCGGGUGACGGCAUGUUCCGAACCUGGUCAGGGUCGGGAGACAGCAGCCAUAAGGAGCCUCUGUCGGGUAC